AUUCUGAGUGUAGAAUCUUUCAUGAAUUUAUUCAUUAAUUUUUAAAAAGCAAUUUAUUGAGUUCCUGUGCUUCAAUCUAACAGGGAAGAUAGACAAUUAAAUGACUACAACACAAAAUGAAAAUUGUUAUAAAUGAGAAGCACAGGGAAUUAUGGGAGCUCACAGGAGGCCCGCCAACUAAAAGGGUGGAAAAAACUUUCUGAACAACUUUUAAGCUGACUCCUGAAGAAUGAGGAGGACUUAUUUAAGCAAGUGUGGGGUGUUGGGGAUGGGAGACAGGGGUAAUUGUGUGUGUGUGUGUCUGUGUUCAGUGUGAGAAAGCAAGAAAGAAUGUUUCAAGAAUAAGACAAUGGCAUGCGUGAAGCCGAAGUAAAGAAAGCACAGAGAUUUUAAGAAAUUGCAAGGGCUGAGUAUGGCUAGAAUAUAGCAUACGAUGGGGAGAUGGACACACUGAGAGAAGAACUGGACAGGCACUGGGGAGCCACUGAAAAUUCUUAAGCAGAAGACCAAGGCAACUAGACACCAGCCAUCAAGAGCUGCUUAUGCGG
RNAcentral lists this long non-coding RNA (548 nucleotides) under Homo sapiens (human). RNAcentral's name for it is "HSALNT0354205". Lineage: Eukaryota; Metazoa; Chordata; Mammalia; Primates; Hominidae. The record is from RNAcentral.